This 474-nucleotide ribosomal RNA is filed under the name uncultured Peptostreptococcus sp. RNAcentral's name for it is "bacterial SSU rRNA". It matches the Rfam family "Bacterial small subunit ribosomal RNA", at positions 28 to 504 of the family's 1533-position model. Lineage: Bacteria; Bacillati; Bacillota; Clostridia; Peptostreptococcales; Peptostreptococcaceae. The record is from RNAcentral.
GAUUAACGCUGGCGGCGUGCAUAACACAUGCAAGUCGAACGAUGAAGAUUAAAGGAUUUCUUCGGAAUGACAUUAAUUGGAUUAGUGGCGGACGGGUGAGUAACGCGUGAGUAACCUGCCUUACACAAGGGGAUAGCCGUUGGAAACGACGAAUAAUACCCUAUAACAUUAACCUAUCGCAUGAUAGGUUAAUCAAAGAUUUAUCGGUGUAAGAUGGACUCGCGUCUGAUUAGCUAGUUGGUGGGGUAACAGCCUACCAAGGCAACGAUCAGUAGCCGGCUUGAGAGAGUGUACGGCCACAUUGGGACUGAGACACGGCCCAGACUCCUACGGGAGGCAGCAGUGGGGAAUUUUGCACAAUGGGGGAAACCCUGAUGCAGCGACGCCGCGUGAUUUAGAAGGCCUUCGGGUUGUAAAAGUCUUUUGUAUGGGAAGAAAAUGACAGUACCAUACGAAUAAGGACCGGCUAAUUAC